Long non-coding RNA from Oncorhynchus tshawytscha (Chinook salmon), 2068 nucleotides. NCBI's taxonomy places the organism in Eukaryota, Metazoa, Chordata, Actinopteri, Salmoniformes, Salmonidae. The record is from Ensembl.
CCUCACCCUAACCAUUACCCUCACCAUAACCCUCACCUUGACCCUGACCCUAACCAUUACCAUAACCCUAACCAUCACCCAGACCCUUACCAUAACCCUUACCCUCACCUUGACCCUAACCAUUACCCUCACCCUCACCUUGACCCUAACCAUUACCCUAACCAUUACCAUAACCCUAACCAUUACCAUAACCCUCACCUUGACCCUAACCAUUACCCUCACCUUGACCCUGACCAUUACCAUAACCCUCACCUUGACCCUAACCAUUACCUUGACCCUAACCCUGACCCUAUCCCUGACCAUAACCCUCACCUUGACCCUGACCCUUCCAGCAAACCACUGGUUCCUGUGGAUGUGUCGAGAUCGAGAACACACCCUCACUAUCUUCUCUCUCUCCUAUUGGCAGUGGGAAGGGUCUAGCGUGCAUAAGCAGGGAAGUUCGAGGCUGACAGAGGUGUUUGUGUGUAUUGAGGGUGUGUGUCCCCCGUCCGUGUGUGUAUGGAGUGUGUCCAUUGCGUGUGCCCGUGUCUGUAUUGUGUGUGUCCGUGUGUGUGUGUAUUUAGUGUGUGUGUGUGUGUGUAUUUAGUGUGUGCCCGUGUCUGUAUUGUGUGUGUCCGUGUGUGUGUGUAUUUAGUGUGUGUCCGUGUGUGUGUGUGUAUUUAGUGUGUGCCCGUGUCUGUAUUGUGUGUGUCCGUGUGUGUGUGUAUUUAGUGUGUGUCCGUGUGUGUGUGUAUUUUUAGUGUGUGUCCCGUGUGUGUGUGUAUUGAGUGUGUGUCCGUGUGUGUGUGUAUUGAGUGUGUGUCCGUGUGUGUGUGUAUUGAGUGUGUAUCUGUGUGUAUUGAGUGUGUCCGUGUGUGUGUGUGUGUGUGUGUAAUGAGUGUGUAUGUGUGUGUAUCCGUGUGUGUGUCCGUGUGUGUGUGUAUGGAGUGUGUCCAUUGUGUGUGCCCGUGUCUGUAUUGUGUGUGUCCGUGUGUGUUUGUAUUUAGUGUGUGUCCGUGUGUGUGUGUGUAUUUAGUGUGUGUCCGUGUGUGUGUGUAUUUAGUGUGUGUCCGUGUGUGUGUGUAUUGAGUGUGUGUCCGUGUGUGUGUGUAUUGAGUGUGUAUCUGUGUGUAUUGAGUGUGUCCGUGUGUGUGUGUGUGUGUGUGUAAUGAGUGUGUAUGUGUGUGUAUCCGUGUGUGUCCGUGUAUGUAUUUAGUGUGUGUCCGUGUGUGUAUUGAGUGUGUAUCUGUGUGUAUUGAGUGUGUCCGUGUGUGUGUGUGUGUGUGUGUAAUGAGUGUGUAUGUGUGUGUAUCCGUGUGUGUGUCCGUGUGUGUGUGUAUGUGUGUAUUUAGUGUGUGUCCGUGUGUGUGUCAGUGUGUUGUGUCCGUUUGUGUGUCUCCGUGUGUGUAUUGAGUGUGUAUAUCCGUGUGUGUGUCAGUGUGUGUGUGUCAGUGUGUGUAUUGAGUGUGUCCGUUUGUGUGUCUCCGUGUGUGUAUUGAGUGUGUGUGUCCGUGUGUAUAUUGUGUGUGUAAGUCCGUGUGUGUAUUGAGUGUGUAAGUGUGUCCAUGUGUAUUGAGUGUGUUAGUGUGUUGCACAGGGGGGCAAGUAUGCCCAGCACCUUGGGGGUAGAGUCAGGUUACUGGAACCCCUGACAACAUCCAGCCCCCCUUGUGUGUGUGUGACCCAGCAGCUCUACUGACUGACUAGUGGAGUCACAGAAACAGCGGGUGUCGCCUAGACUCAACAGGACACACUGACGUGUGUGUGUGUGUGUGUGUGUGUGUGUCCAUGCGUCUCACACACACAGUACCAGACCUGUGUUAAUAAGGGCCUUAUGUGGAAAUAAAGUACCUGCUUCUUUUACGUAAAAUAUCUUUCAUCAGGAAAACUGGGACCAUCGUUGAGUCCAGUACCGUUCCAUGUUAUUAGCUGUACAAAAAUACUCAAUACAAUCCUGUUAACAUAAUGGACGCACCUGAAACCUAUAAAUAUAGUAGUGUGUAUUGAAGUCUGAAGAGAAAUCUGUACUGACCAGUCUGCACCCCGUCUCUAGGACUUAUUGUUAUACAGCCAUACACAAGUGUUUAAG